Molecule: long non-coding RNA, 449 nt
Organism: Polyodon spathula (Mississippi paddlefish)
Lineage: Eukaryota; Metazoa; Chordata; Actinopteri; Acipenseriformes; Polyodontidae
Exons: 3
Source: RefSeq, a predicted model, not a curated record
CAAUGUAUUAGUAGUUGGAGUGGUUCACAGUAAAAACACCUGCCAUAAAACUGUCAAUAGAGAGUCUGGACACUAGUGGCAGCCUGGAUAAGUGUUACUGACAAACCCUCAAAGAGUACCGCCUCUAAUCCCUUCAGGGGUUGGAAAUCUGCUAUGAAGUCUCCUUUGAAACUGUUCCUCGCAAACAUCUUGGACAGCACACCUGCCAAGCAAGCUCCUAGUAUCAGCCCUCAGUCAAGGUCUGUCAGAGCUGCUUGUCUUGGGAUGACUUUUACGAAAACUUGAGAGGGGCAGCCCACUAAUACAAAAAUGUGGAGAGGAUCUUCCUAACAUCUAUACUGGAGUCACGACAGCAGUGAGAAAGAUAGAAGAUAAAGUUACUUGAUGUUGUGAGCUUGAAUAACUUUCAUUAGAUGGACCAAACACAAACCCUGACCACAUCUGCAAAG